AACCACUUUACAAUAGUGCAUCUAAAUCUUUUAAGGGGGGGGGGGGUUAGAAGGAUUACUUUAUCCUAUCCUAGGUAUUCCUUAAAGAGGUGGGGUUUCAGGUGUCUCCGGAAGGUGGUGAUUGACACCGCUGUCCUGGCGUCGUGAGGGAGCUUGUUCCACCAUUGGGGUGCCAGAGCAGCGAACAGUUUUGACUGGGCUGAGCGGGAACUGUGCUUCCUCAGAGGUAGGGAGGCGAGCAGGCCAGAGGUGGAUGAACGGAGUGCCCUUGUUUGGGUGUAGGGCCUGAACAGAGCCUGAAGGUACGGAGGUGCCGUUCCCCUCACAGCUCCGUAGGCAAGCACCAUGGUCUUGUAGCGGAUGCGAGCUUCGACUGGAAGCCAGUGGAGAGAGCGGAGGAGCGGGGUGACGUGAGAGAACUUGGGAAGGUUGAACACCAGACGGG
RNAcentral lists this long non-coding RNA (445 nucleotides) under Salmo salar (Atlantic salmon). Its description in RNAcentral is "lncRNA (ENSSSAG00000089771.1)". Lineage: Eukaryota; Metazoa; Chordata; Actinopteri; Salmoniformes; Salmonidae. The record is from RNAcentral.